RNAcentral lists this ribosomal RNA (411 nucleotides) under uncultured bacterium. RNAcentral describes it as "bacterial SSU rRNA". It matches the Rfam family "Bacterial small subunit ribosomal RNA", at positions 505 to 916 of the family's 1533-position model. The record is from RNAcentral.
GUGCCAGCAGCCGCGGUAAUACGUAGGCAGCAAGCGUUGUUCGGAGUUACUGGGCGUAAAGGGUGUGUAGGCGGUUCUCUAAGUUUGGUGUGAAAUCUCCCGGCUUAACCGGGAGGGUGCGUUGAAAACUGGUGGGCUUGAGUAUGGGAGAGGUAAGCGGAAUUCCUGGUGUAGCGGUGAAAUGCGUAGAUAUCAGGAGGAACACCUGUGGUGUAGACAGCUUACUGGACCAUCACUGACGCUGAGACACGAAAGCGUGGGUAGCAAACAGGAUUAGAUACCCUGGUAGUCCACGCCCUAAACGAUGCAUACUUGGUGUGAGCGAUUCAUUUAGUUCGUGCCGGAGCUAACGCGUUAAGUAUGCCGCCUGGGGAGUACGGUCGCAAGGCUGAAACUUAAAGGAAUUGACGG